AUGCACCAGUCGGCCCACUGCAAGCCUAGUCGGCCCACUGCAGGCCUAUCGGCCAACUGCAGGCCGACUGGGCCUGAUCUGGUCGCCGACAGCCCAAUCGGCCAGCAGCAAGCUGAUGGGCCACCAGUCGGCCUGCUGUGGGCUGACUGGGCUCAGUCGGCCUGCAACGGGCCGACGUCGCAUAUCAGAACUGUACGUAUUUCGCCAUUUACAAUUUUAGUGUACCUUGCGUAUCGCAACCAGGCCAUAACAGAACAGAUCCAAGCACGCUCUUCAACCGUGCUGAUAGCGAACUCAUGGACCGAGUACCUGCACAGCGGGUGCACGCCGUCGAUCAUCCACCGGGACAUCAAGGCGAGCUACAUCCCGCUGGACAAGGAGAUGAGAGCCAAGGUCUCCGACUUUGGGCUGUCGAAGCUAGUUGUGGAGGAGUCCCACGGAGCAUCCACCAGUGUACUACAUCUCUCAGCAGCUGGCGGAGAAGAGCAACGUGUACAGCUUUGGGAUCAUCCUGCUGGAGCUCAUCUCGGGGCGGCCAAGUUCUACUACGAGAGCGGGGACAUCGAGGCGGUGGUGGACCCGGCGAUCGCGGGUGAGUAUUGGGGCGUGCACUCGGUGUGGAAGGUGGCGGAGACGGCGGUACGGUGCAUCGGCGUGGACGCCCGGCGCCGGCUAUGCAUGGCGGAGGUGGUGAAGGAGGUCUACGAGGCCAUCCCGCUGGAGCGGACCCCGAGGGACGAGGGGCAGGGAGGUCGAGCGACAUGA
RNAcentral lists this ribosomal RNA (765 nucleotides) under Triticum aestivum (bread wheat). RNAcentral describes it as "partial small subunit ribosomal RNA". The record is from RNAcentral. Lineage: Eukaryota; Viridiplantae; Streptophyta; Magnoliopsida; Poales; Poaceae.